GGACUACCGGGGUAUCUAAUCCUGUUUGAUCCCCACGCUUUCGUGCAUCAGAGUCAAUGAUUGUGUAGCAAGCUGCCUUCGCAAUUGGUGUUCUAUGUCAUAUCUAAGCAUUUCACCGCUACAUGACAUAUUCCGCUUACCUCCACAAUAUUCAAGACAGAUAGUAUCAACGGCAGUUCCCAAGUUAAGCUCGGGGAUUUCACCACUGACUUACCUGCCCUCCUACGCACCCUUUAAACCCAGUGAAUCCGGAUAACGCUUGCACCCUCCGUAUUACCGCGGCUGCUGGCAC
This 292-nucleotide ribosomal RNA is filed under the name uncultured Bacteroidota bacterium. RNAcentral describes it as "uncultured Bacteroidetes bacterium partial 16S ribosomal RNA". Lineage: Bacteria; Pseudomonadati; Bacteroidota. The record is from RNAcentral.